RNAcentral lists this long non-coding RNA (216 nucleotides) under Mytilus galloprovincialis (Mediterranean mussel). Lineage: Eukaryota; Metazoa; Mollusca; Bivalvia; Mytilida; Mytilidae. The record is from RNAcentral.
AAACCUUCUCCCUUUCUCUGAAACAAUAGCAUAACAUCACAACAUAGAAAAACAUACGAUAAAAUAUCAAUUGGCAGACUUAACUCAAUCAAAAAACGUAUGAUUACACAAUGAACGAAUAAAUUUUAUCUGCGAUAUCUGAAUACAAAUGCACAGUUAAUUAAAUAUUAGAGACAAACAUUCAUGACCAAAAAGCUGACAAACAAAUUCAAACAC